This 72-nucleotide transfer RNA is filed under the name Apaloderma vittatum (bar-tailed trogon). It matches the Rfam family "tRNA". From Rfam's summary of the family: Transfer RNA (tRNA) molecules are approximately 80 nucleotides in length. Lineage: Eukaryota; Metazoa; Chordata; Aves; Trogoniformes; Trogonidae. The record is from Rfam by way of RNAcentral.
GACUGGUUAGCUCAGUCGGUUGAGCGUAGUGCUGGUAACACCAAGGUCAUGGGUUUGAUCCCCGAUCGGUCC